This 468-nucleotide ribosomal RNA is filed under the name uncultured bacterium. RNAcentral describes it as "partial 16S ribosomal RNA". It matches the Rfam family "Bacterial small subunit ribosomal RNA", at positions 28 to 507 of the family's 1533-position model. The record is from RNAcentral.
GACGAACGCUGGCGGCGUGCUUAACACAUGCGAGUCGAACGGAAAGGCCCUGCUUUUGUGGGGUGCUCGAGUGGCGAACGGGUGAGUAACACGUGAGUAACCUGCCCUUGACUUUGGGAUAACUUCAGGAAACUGGGGCUAAUACCGGAUAGGAGCUCCUGCUGCAUAGUGGGGGUUGGAAAGUUUCGGCGGUUGGGGAUGGACUCGCGGCUUAUCAGCUUGUUGGUGGGGUAGUGGCUUACCAAGGCUUUGACGGGUAGCCGGCCUGAGAGGGUGACCGGCCACAUUGGGACUGAGAUACGGCCCAGACUCCUACGGGAGGCAGCAGUGGGGAAUAUUGCACAAUGGGCGGAAGCCUGAUGCAGCAACGCCGCGUGCGGGAUGACGGCCUUCGGGUUGUAAACCGCUUUCGCCUGUGACGAAGCGUGAGUGACGGUAAUGGGUAAAGAAGCACCGGCUAACUACGUG